RNAcentral lists this ribosomal RNA (253 nucleotides) under uncultured bacterium. RNAcentral describes it as "partial 16S ribosomal RNA". It matches the Rfam family "Bacterial small subunit ribosomal RNA", at positions 524 to 776 of the family's 1533-position model. The record is from RNAcentral.
UACGGGGGGGGUAAGCGUUGUUCGGAAUUACUGGGCGUAAAGGGCUCGUAGGCGGCCAACUAAGUCGGAUGUGAAAUCCCCAAGCUUAACUUGGGAACUGCAUCCGAUACUGGAUGGCUUGAAUCCGGGAGAGGGAUGCAGAAUUCCAGGUGUAGCGGUGAAAUGCGUAGAUAUCGUCAAGAACACCUAUAGCGAAGGCAGCUUACUAGGCUGUAACUGACGCUGAGGCACGAAAGUGUGGGGAUCAAACAGG